RNAcentral lists this transfer RNA (72 nucleotides) under Pangasianodon gigas (Mekong giant catfish). RNAcentral describes it as "tRNA-Cys". It matches the Rfam family "tRNA". From Rfam's summary of the family: Transfer RNA (tRNA) molecules are approximately 80 nucleotides in length. Their secondary structure includes four short double-helical elements and three loops (D, anti-codon, and T loops). Lineage: Eukaryota; Metazoa; Chordata; Actinopteri; Siluriformes; Pangasiidae. The record is from RNAcentral.
GGGGGUAUAGCUCAGUGGUAGCGCAUUUGACUGCAGAUCAGGAGGUCCCUAGUUCAAAUCUGGGUGCCCCCU